CGAGACAGCCUUGCUGCAUGUGCUGCAGAAGGCAAAAUUUAUACAUCUGGAGGUUCAGAAGUAGGAAACUCAGCUCUGUAUUUAUUUGAGUGCUAUGAUACGAGAACUGAAAGCUGGCACACAAAGCCCAGCAUGCUGACCCAGCGCUGCAGCCAUGGGAUGGUGGAAGCCAAUGGCCUAAUCUAUGUUUGUGGUGGAAGUUUAGGAAACAAUGUUUCUGGGAGAGUGCUUAAUUCCUGUGAAGUUUAUGAUCCUGCCACAGAAACGUAUGUAUCUAUUUAAAAUUUAUUUUACAGUUAAUUGUAUUCUAUAAGCUCUGUAAGAGAUGUCA
This 331-nucleotide small RNA is filed under the name Pongo abelii (Sumatran orangutan). RNAcentral's name for it is "retained intron". Lineage: Eukaryota; Metazoa; Chordata; Mammalia; Primates; Hominidae. The record is from RNAcentral.